Long non-coding RNA from Apis dorsata (giant honeybee), 1643 nucleotides. RefSeq lists it as uncharacterized. The record is from RefSeq and is a predicted model, not a curated record. The transcript has 2 exons. Lineage: Eukaryota; Metazoa; Arthropoda; Insecta; Hymenoptera; Apidae.
CUUUUUCAUUCAUUCUUCUCGAUUGAUAAUGGAAGAAGAUUGAUAAUAGAUAUCAUCCAAUCAUCAUUUAUUUAUUUAAAUAUGUUUAUUCUAAAUUCUCCUUUCCUAUUGUAUCCAAUUAUACACACUUUGUGUAAACAAUCCUGUAGAUUCACAAAAAAAAAAUUUCAGAAAAAGAAAACCUCCUUUCUACAGUGUUUGCAGAAGACUUCGUUGAAAAAGAGGAAUGCAUCGAGUUUGAAACAAUGGUGUUUCUGUUGUUCGAGGGUCAACGGACAUAGCAAGACAAGAUACGCAAGUCUUUGACCGGGAUGACACGCAGAAAUGCCAUGCUUCAUCUUGAUGCCUGUUUCAGAUUGAUGCGAUCGUGGAAAGACAAUGUAAAGUCACACUAAUUUCACAUCCUGUCGCGUGUUAAUUCGCAUUCACUUCGUGAUGAAUUAAUUUCUAGUAGAAACUAGUUGCAUGGAUCUUUAUCGGCAAAUUACAGCGAAUAAAUACACAUUUAUCUUGACACGUUUAUCGGUCGUAAUUCAAGAAUCAUAUUAAUGGGAACGAGUUAUAGCAUGGGAUUAGAGAUGCUUGUCGAAUUGCAGAUUAUUAAAUUAGGAUUAUUAAAUUAUUUUGUAACCAUGAUUUUAAAUACUUGUUGAUUUUGAAAUGUAUCAAUUUAUAAUAUAUACGAUUAAAAGGAACAAUUAAAAUUCAUAAUAAAAGAAAGGAUUAAAAGGUGAAGAAAUGAAAUAAAAAUUGAAACUUUAAUAUCUUCAUGAUAUUUUUCUCUUAACCUGUAAGGAUGCAUAAAUUUCUUGCAACAAACCUCGCACACCAAUGUUCUUACUCUUUGAAUGCGUUCAUAUUUCAAAAUCCUUGCAAUAGCAGUUCACAAGAGUCAAUGUGGUCACGGGAUAGACGAAGGUUUCAAAGUUGCAAGGUAAGGCGUGUCGAGACUAGUGAUGGGAUCGAGUACCAUAUAUAUUCAUAAAUCUGGAUCAAAUUCGAUGAAAGAAUAUUAGAGAGAAGUAAUACUACUCAAGAAGAUGAACAUAGUCAUUCGUUAUACAAUUCAAUCACGAGAAUUAUAAUAAUUACUGUCAAAAAUAACGAAUAAGAAAAUUGAUGUUUCUAGUAAAAUUUCGAAUUUAUUCGAUCAAUGUUCGAUUCUAUUCGUAUUUUUUUUAUAGUCUCACUCUAUGAUUCAAUCUUGAAAAGAUACUUAUGAAUUGAAACCUGUUGCGACUCGGCCCCAUCGCUAAAUCGAAUAGAAAAGGAAAGAGACGCUUCGAGACAGAAGAAAGCCGAAGAAUGGCGGAUCAUCAUCUUCACGCGAGCGAGGCGAACUUAUGUAACGCUUUCAUACAAGACAAGGCCAAGGUUCUCGCGAUGCAGCAGAGGUUGAGCAUGUACUGUGUGGUCCCUCCGUUUCAUAUUGUUUUAUGGCAACAGUCGGCGACGCAUCUAAUUACGUCUAUCGAAAGAAACGUGGAGGAUCUUGUUCCCUGGACCACCAAGAUGGUGGAAUUUCGAGUAAGGAGGUUGUUGUAACGCGUAACAGGACAAUGCUCGAUUGUAUAAUUUUAAAGGGCCAUUCCGUGGGGAUGAGGAACGCGACGUGUGUCGCGUAAUUAUUUCUCUCCCUAUUG